This 36-nucleotide ribosomal RNA is filed under the name Backusella variabilis. RNAcentral describes it as "partial 18S ribosomal RNA". The record is from RNAcentral. Lineage: Eukaryota; Fungi; Mucoromycota; Mucoromycetes; Mucorales; Backusellaceae.
AAGGUUUAUAGCCCCUUUCUUGACCAAAAGAAAGCU